GAUGAACGCUGGCGGCGUGCUUAACACAUGCAAGUCGAGCGAAGCGCUUUGAAUUUUUCGGAAUGAGAAGUGACUGAGCGGCGGACGGGUGAGUAACGCGUGGGUAACCUGCCUCAUACAGGGGGAUAACAGUUAGAAAUGACUGCUAAUACCGCAUAAGCGCACAGUACCGCAUGGUACGGUGUGAAAAACUCCGGUGGUAUGAGAUGGACCCGCGUCUGAUUAGCUAGUUGGUGAGGUAACGGCUCACCAAGGCGACGAUCAGUAGCCGACCUGAGAGGGUGACCGGCCACAUUGGGACUGAGACACGGCCCAA
Molecule: ribosomal RNA, 316 nt
Filed under: uncultured bacterium
Lineage: Bacteria
Description: bacterial SSU rRNA
Rfam family: Bacterial small subunit ribosomal RNA
Source: RNAcentral